RNAcentral lists this ribosomal RNA (440 nucleotides) under uncultured bacterium. Its description in RNAcentral is "partial 16S ribosomal RNA". It matches the Rfam family "Bacterial small subunit ribosomal RNA", at positions 338 to 795 of the family's 1533-position model. The record is from RNAcentral.
CCUACGGGUGGCAGCAGUGGGGAAUAUUGCACAAUGGGGGAAACCCUGAUGCAGCGACGCCGCGUGAGUGAAGAAGUAUCUCGGUACGUAAAGCUCUAUCAGCAGGGAAGAAAAUGACGGUACCUGACUAAGAAGCCCCGGCUAACUACGUGCCAGCAGCCGCGGUAAUACGGAGGGGGCAAGCGUUAUCCGGAUUUCCUGGGUGUAAAGGGAGCGUAGACGGCAGGACAAGUCUGGAGUGAAAUCCCGGGGCUUAACCCCGGAACUGCUUUGGAAACUGUGCGGCUGGAGUGCAGGAGGGGUAAGCGGAAUUCGUGGUGUAGCGGUGAAAUGCGUAGAUAUUAGGAGGAACACCGGUGGCGAAGGCGGCUUACUGGACUGUAACUGACGUUGAUGCUCGAAAGCGUGGGGAGCAAACAGGAUUAGAUACCCCUGUAGUC